Molecule: long non-coding RNA, 304 nt
Organism: Gorilla gorilla gorilla (western lowland gorilla)
Lineage: Eukaryota; Metazoa; Chordata; Mammalia; Primates; Hominidae
Exons: 3
Source: RefSeq, a predicted model, not a curated record
CCCAGGAGCUCCUUCCAACCUUACAGCAAGUGUGUCUUCAGUGUGGUUCAUUCAGCACCCUUGGUGUAUAUGAGGCAAUCUGAAGAGGAUGUAAGUCAGUUUGAUUCCAAGUUUACACGUCAGACACCUGUCGACAGCCCAGAUGACGCAACUCUCAGUGAAACUGCCAAUCAGGUCUUUCUGAUGCCACUGCAAGAACGGGGACAAUGGAACAGGCCCUUACCAAAUGCCAAACGUGCUAUCACCUUGAUUUUGGAUUUCCCAGCCUCCGGAACUGUGAGGAAUAAAUUUUUUUGCUUAUAAA